ACAGCUCAGUAACACGUGGACAACCUACCCAAAGGUCUGGGAUAACUCCGGGAAACUGGGGAUAAUACCGGAUAGGUCAAGAGUACUGGAAGGGUUUUUUGAUUGAAAGCUCUGGCGCCUUUGGAUGGGUCUGCGGCUGAUUAGGUUGACGCCGGUGUAAAGUACCGGCGUGCCGAUUAUCAGUACGGGUUGUGGGAGCAAGAGCCCGGAGAUGGAUUCUGAGACACGAAUCCAGGCCCUACAGGGCGCAGCAGGCGCGAAAACUUUACAAUGCAGGCAACUGCGAUAGGGGAACAUCGAGUGCUCAUCAUAUUGGUGGGCUGUCCAUCCGCCUAAAAAGCGGGUGUUAGCAAGGGCCGGGCAAGACCGGUGCCAGCCGCCGCGGUAAUACCGGCGGCUCGAGUGGUGGCCGAUAUUAUUGAGUCUAAAGGGUCCGUAGCCGGCUUUGCAAGUCUCUCGGGAAAUCCAGCGGCUUAACCGUUGGUCGGCCGGGGGGUACUACAUUGCUUGGGACUGGGAGAGGUAGGAGGUACUCAGGGGGUAGGAGUGAAAUCCUGUAAUCCUCUGGGGACCACCGGUGGCGAAGGCGUCCUGCCAGAACAGGUCCGACGGUGAGGGACGAAAGCUAGGGGCACGAACCGGAUUAGAUACCCGGGUAGUCCUAGCCGUAAACGAUGCUCGCUAGGUGUCGCAACAGUCGUGAAUUGUUGCGGUGCCGUAGGGAAGCCGUGAAGCGAGCCACUUGGGAAGUACGACCGCAAGGUUGAAACUUAAAGGAAUUGGCGGGGGAGCAC
RNAcentral lists this ribosomal RNA (794 nucleotides) under uncultured archaeon. RNAcentral's name for it is "bacterial SSU rRNA". It matches the Rfam family "Archaeal small subunit ribosomal RNA", at positions 85 to 879 of the family's 1478-position model. The record is from RNAcentral.